Molecule: regulatory RNA element, 109 nt
Organism: Bacillus sp. MRMR6
Lineage: Bacteria; Bacillati; Bacillota; Bacilli; Caryophanales; Bacillaceae
Rfam family: Guanidine-I riboswitch aptamer
About the family: This family represents a conserved RNA structure found upstream of the ykkC and yxkD genes in Bacillus subtilis and related genes in other bacteria. The function of this family is unclear although it has been suggested that it may function to switch on efflux pumps and detoxification systems in response to harmful environmental molecules. Nelson showed that this riboswitch senses and responds to guanidine and it was renamed Guanidine-I riboswitch.
Source: Rfam
AAAAAAGCUUUCUAGGGUUCCGUUUAAAGAUUGUUCUUUAAAGACUGGUCCGAGAGGAAGCGUACAGCCUUGACGGUUGUAUACACGGAAGGACAAAAGCCUGGGAGAU